UUGAGGACUUGGGUUGGACAAAGUCAGUUCUAGCACUCACAAGAAGUUCAGGGAGGUCUGGCUGCUUGCUCAACUGCGCUCUGGGGCCAAGGCCAGGGCGCAUCCAGAUGGAGCCCUGAACAAGCUCUCUGUGUUCUUCCCGCCCAGCCUGUCCCUCCCACCUCUGCCGGGAGAGCUUCUGUGAAAAGUUCUACCACGGUCUGCCUGCCGGGCAGAGGUGGAAGCUGCGAGGCUGCCGUUGGGCCCUAGUGAGGUGCUCAGAGCAGGGCCAGGCCCUGGGCUGGAAGCUUUAAGGCGAAGAACUUCAUUUGUGCUUGAGGGACCAGCACUGGAAACAGGAAUUAGGGAGAAGAUUGCCUUUCUCUUCCUCUCUUAUUCUGACAUUAAUUGGAUUUUCCCCUCCUAUGGCCUCAAUUUAAACCAGUGGGAGGAACCCAGAUAUUCUUAGCCACUGUGGGCAGCAACUGGUGUCCAAAGGACUUCCUGACAAGCUGGGUCAUGGUACUUGUGUGAAAGUGAGCCUGCGUGGGGGCUGGAAUGACUGGAACUGUUACCUGAGGCUUCAGAUCUCUGCCCCUCAGUCACCAACUCUUUGUCUCCAGUCAGGCCCUUGCGCUCUCCCAAGUGGGCUUAGGGAUGCUUGUCGCUCACCUACGUCACCAGGGUAUCACAUGAAGCCCACAGUAUGCAUGGAGCUUCUGGGCAGUUGAAGAAAAAGCAUGAGGAUUCUUCAAGGAUCUGGAGAGCAAUAAGCCACCUAUUGAAUGCUGCCAAAAGGCCCAUGGGCAGGAAACCGGUUUGGAUCUGGGCAGCGGCUGCUGGAGUUCUGUGUCCUCUUCAACACUCCCUGCUUUCCAGAGCUGAACUUCUUGGCGCGUCAGAAGUCAGGCGUGGCCGUCUUCAGAAUACAAGGAGGCGUGGAGAGAUGCCUGGCUGGCUCAGGAGGUAGAGCAUGUGACUCUUGAUCUCAGAGUUGUGACUUCAAGUCCCAUGUCAGGUAGAAAGAUUACUUAAAAAUAAGAUCUUGAAAAAGAAAUGGCAGAGCAUACUGAGGGAGAGGAAGGCCUCUGUGGGCAAACCCAAGUGUAAAAUAAACACCCCCCCCUCAUGAAAAGUUAGCCCCUG
RNAcentral lists this transfer RNA (1125 nucleotides) under Neogale vison (American mink). Its description in RNAcentral is "Neovison vison (American mink) lncRNA (ENSNVIG00000005266.1)". The stretch from base 928 to 1000 matches the Rfam family "tRNA". Lineage: Eukaryota; Metazoa; Chordata; Mammalia; Carnivora; Mustelidae. The record is from RNAcentral.